This 73-nucleotide transfer RNA is filed under the name Spirochaetota bacterium. RNAcentral's name for it is "Spirochaetes bacterium tRNA-Thr". It matches the Rfam family "tRNA". Rfam says of the family: Transfer RNA (tRNA) molecules are approximately 80 nucleotides in length. Their secondary structure includes four short double-helical elements and three loops (D, anti-codon, and T loops). RNAcentral also lists the same sequence under 1 other name. The record is from RNAcentral. Lineage: Bacteria; Pseudomonadati; Spirochaetota.
GCCCUUGUAGCUCAGUCGGUAGAGCACCUCCAUGGUAAGGAGGGGGUAGUCGGUUCAAAUCCGACCGAGGGCU